This 222-nucleotide ribosomal RNA is filed under the name Photobacterium phosphoreum. RNAcentral describes it as "partial 16S ribosomal RNA". It matches the Rfam family "Bacterial small subunit ribosomal RNA", at positions 1 to 218 of the family's 1533-position model. Lineage: Bacteria; Pseudomonadati; Pseudomonadota; Gammaproteobacteria; Vibrionales; Vibrionaceae. RNAcentral also lists the same sequence under 1 other name. The record is from RNAcentral.
UUAAUUGAAGAGUUUGAUCAUGGCUCAGAUUGAACGCUGGCGGCAGGCCUAACACAUGCAAGUCGAGCGGUAACAGAUUGAUAGCUUGCUAUCAAUGCUGACGAGCGGCGGACGGGUGAGUAAUGCCUGGGAAUAUACCCUGAUGUGGGGGAUAACUAUUGGAAACGAUAGCUAAUACCGCAUAAUCUCUUCGGAGCAAAGAGGGGGACCUUCGGGCCUCUC